AUUGAACGCUGGCGGCAGGCCUAACACAUGCAAGUCGAGCGGAUGAAGGGAGCUUGCUCCUGGCUUCAGUGGCGGACGGGCGAGUAAUGACUAGGAAUCUAACUGGUCGUGAAGACUAGCGUCAGGUCACGGGAGCUGAUCCAAUAUCCGUCCAGAGGUAGAAAGUGAUGGUUCUUCAGUCCUAACGCUAUCUGCUGAGCCUUGGUCGUAUUAGCUAGUUGGUGGGGUAAAGGCCUACCAAGGCGACGAUCCGUAACUGGUCUGAGAGGAUGAUCAGCCACACUGGAACUGAGACACGGUCCAGACUCCUACGGGAGGCAGCAGUGGGGAAUAUUGGACAAUGGGCGAAAGCCUGAUCCAGCCAUGCCGCGUGUGUGAAGAAGGUCUUCGGAUUGUAAAGCACUGUUAUUAGGGAGGAAGGGAAGUAAGUGAAUAUCUUGAUGUUUUGACGGUACCAACAGAGUAAGCACCGGCUAACUUCGUG
This 484-nucleotide ribosomal RNA is filed under the name uncultured bacterium. Its description in RNAcentral is "partial 16S ribosomal RNA". It matches the Rfam family "Bacterial small subunit ribosomal RNA", at positions 30 to 507 of the family's 1533-position model. The record is from RNAcentral.